AUGAAGUCACCGGAAAACGACAUCAGAAUCCUCCUCGGAAUCCCAACCAUGGCAGACCACCACGAUCGCCGCCACUUCCUCCGCCUCAUUUACGGGACCCAAUCGGUGGUGGGAGCAAAAAUCGAUGUCAAAUUUGUCUUCUGCAACCUAACAAAAGAAGACCAAAAAGUCCUAGUAGCACUUGAGAUAAUACAACACAACGAUAUCAUAAUCUUGAAUUGCAAAGAGAAUAUGGAUAAAGGUAAGACCUACACUUACUUCUCAAGCUUGCCAGAUAUGCUAAAACCCGAUCCCGAUUCCAAUUCUGAUUCCGAUCCUUACCCGCCAUACCAUUAUGUGAUAAAGGGCGAUGACGAUACGUAUUUCCGGUUGCAAAAAUUGGUGG
Molecule: long non-coding RNA, 385 nt
Filed under: Lactuca sativa (garden lettuce)
Lineage: Eukaryota; Viridiplantae; Streptophyta; Magnoliopsida; Asterales; Asteraceae
Description: long non-coding RNA (LSAT_LNC008205)
Source: RNAcentral